Molecule: ribosomal RNA, 469 nt
Filed under: Polydora colonia
Lineage: Eukaryota; Metazoa; Annelida; Polychaeta; Spionida; Spionidae
Description: partial large subunit ribosomal RNA
Rfam family: Bacterial large subunit ribosomal RNA
Source: RNAcentral
UUCUGCCCUAUGCCCUACGGGGUAAAUGGCCGCGGUAGCCUGACCGUGCUAAGGUAGCAUAAUCAUUUGCCGUUUAAUUGAUGGCUGGAAUGAAUGAAUAUACGAGAGCUCAACUGUCUCAUUUUUACAAAUAUAAAUUGACCCUCAAGUGAAGAGACUUGAAUUAAGAAAAAAGACGAAAAGACCCUAUAGAGCUUUACCUGAAACUUAUAUUAUACACAGUAAAGGUUUAGUUGGGGCAACUAGAGAGCACCUAAAACCUCUCUUUAAACUUAUUAAUAUUGAUCCGUUUUUACGAUAAGUAGAAAAAGCUACCUUAGGGAUAACAGGCUAAUCCUCUUUAAGAGACCAUAUUGACAAGAGGGAUUGGCACCUCGAUGUUGGCUCAAGGUUACAGUUUGAUGCAGCAGUCAAACAAAGUAGGUUUGUUCACCCUUUAAACCCUUACGUGAUCUGANNUCAGACCGGA